GAUGAACGCUGACAGAAUGCUUAACACAUGCAAGUCGAUGGGGAAGUGGUGCUUGCACCAUGGCAACCAUGGCGGACGGGUGAGUAACGCGUAAGGGACUUACCUGCAGGACUGGGAUAACAGGGGGAAACUCCUGACAAGACCGGAUAAUGUCAUGGAGCUGCAUGGCUUUAUGAUGAAAGGAGACGCCUGCGGAGAGCCUUGCGUCCUAUUAGCUAGUUGGUGAGGUAAUGGCUCACCAAGGCGAAGAUAGGUAGCCGGCCUGAGAGGGUGGACGGCCACAAGGGGACUGAGAUACGGCCCUUACUCCUACGGGAGGCAGCAGUGGGGAAUAUUGGGCAAUGGGGGCAACCCUGAUCCAGCAAUUCUGUGUGCACGAAGAAGGUUUUCGGAUUGUAAAGUGCUUUCAGCAGGGAAGAAGUAAGUGACGGUACCUGCAGAAGAAGCGACGGCUAAAUACGUG
Molecule: ribosomal RNA, 463 nt
Filed under: uncultured bacterium
Lineage: Bacteria
Description: partial 16S ribosomal RNA
Rfam family: Bacterial small subunit ribosomal RNA
Source: RNAcentral